AGGAGUGUAGCUUGGUGGUAGAGCACUCGCCUCUCAUGCGUGAGGCUCUGGGUUGGAUCCCCAGCACUGCAA
This 72-nucleotide transfer RNA is filed under the name Fukomys damarensis (Damara mole-rat). It matches the Rfam family "tRNA". Rfam says of the family: Transfer RNA (tRNA) molecules are approximately 80 nucleotides in length. Lineage: Eukaryota; Metazoa; Chordata; Mammalia; Rodentia; Bathyergidae. The record is from Rfam by way of RNAcentral.